Molecule: transfer RNA, 68 nt
Filed under: Nasutitermes corniger
Lineage: Eukaryota; Metazoa; Arthropoda; Insecta; Blattodea; Termitidae
Also listed under: 4 other names
Description: tRNA-Met
Source: RNAcentral
AGAAAAGUAAGCUAAAAUAAGCUAAUGGGUUCAUACCCCAUAAAUAGAGCACGAAUCUCUCUUCUCUG